Molecule: ribosomal RNA, 411 nt
Filed under: uncultured bacterium
Lineage: Bacteria
Description: bacterial SSU rRNA
Rfam family: Bacterial small subunit ribosomal RNA
Source: RNAcentral
GAACGAGAAAGUGGAGCAAUCCAUGAGUAAAGUGGCGACCGGGUGAGUAACACGUGACUAACCUACCUUCGAGUGGGGGAUAACCUCGGGAAACCGGGGCUAAUACCGCAUAACACCGCAAGGUCAAAGCAGCAAUGCGUUUGGAGAGGGGGUCGCGGCUGAUUAGCUAGUUGGCGGGGUAACGGCCCACCAAGGCGAAGAUCGGUAUCCGGCCUGAGAGGGCGCACGGACACACUGGAACUGAAACACGGUCCAGACUCCUACGGGAGGCAGCAGUGGGGAAUUUUGCGCAAUGGGGGAAACCCUGACGCAGCAACGCCGCGUGGAGGAUGAAGCCCUUUGGGGCGUAAACUCCUUUCGACUCGGACGAUAAUGACGGUACGAGUGGAAGAAGCACCGGCUAACUCUGUG